This 381-nucleotide ribosomal RNA is filed under the name uncultured soil bacterium. Its description in RNAcentral is "bacterial SSU rRNA". It matches the Rfam family "Bacterial small subunit ribosomal RNA", at positions 26 to 438 of the family's 1533-position model. The record is from RNAcentral.
AGAACGAACGCUGGCGGCAUGCCUAAUACAUGCAAGUCGAACGAACACUUCGGUGUUAGUGGCGCACGGGUGCGUAACGCGUGGGAAUCUGCCCUUGGGUUCGGAAUAACAGUUGGAAACGACUGCUAAUACCGGAUGAUGACGAAAGUCCAAAGAUUUAUCGCCCAGGGAUGAGCCCGCGUAGGAUUAGCUAGUUGGUGAGGUAAAGGCUCACCAAGGCGACGAUCUGUAGCUGGUUUGAGAGGACGACCAGCCACACUGGGACUGAGACACGGCCCAGACUCCUACGGGAGGCAGCAGUGGGGAAUUUUGGACAAUGGGGGAAACCCUGAUCCAGCCAUCCCGCGUGUGCGAUGAAGGCCUCGGUUGUAAGCACUUUGG